AGCACUGUAUGCAGUCUGCACCAGACCAUAUUCUCUUGAAGGGAUGUUGAAAAGGCAAUGCUACACUAAUUCAGUAUUUCAUAUUGAUGGAUUUCAUGCUGCUGUGUGCUAGUUCAGCCAAGUAUUUCUGUGGAUACAGAU
Molecule: small nucleolar RNA, 141 nt
Organism: Chelydra serpentina (North American snapping turtle)
Lineage: Eukaryota; Metazoa; Chordata; Testudines; Chelydridae
Source: Ensembl